This 537-nucleotide ribosomal RNA is filed under the name uncultured bacterium. RNAcentral describes it as "bacterial SSU rRNA". It matches the Rfam family "Bacterial small subunit ribosomal RNA", at positions 61 to 597 of the family's 1533-position model. The record is from RNAcentral.
GUCGACGAGAUCUUUGGAUGAUUCUUUCGGGAUGAAUUCCAAAGAGGAAAGUGGCGGACGGGCGAGUAACGCGUGAGUAACCUGCCCAUAAGAGGGGGAUAAUCCAUGGAAACGUGGACUAAUACCGCAUAUUGUAAUAAAAUCGCAUGAUUUAAUUAUGAAAGAUUUAUCGCUUAUGGAUGGACUCGCGUCAGAUUAGAUAGUUGGUGAGGUAACGGCUCACCAAGUCAACGAUCUGUAGCCGAACUGAGAGGUUGAUCGGCCGCAUUGGGACUGAGACACGGCCCAGACUCCUACGGGAGGCAGCAGUGGGGAAUAUUGCGCAAUGGGGGCAACCCUGACGCAGCAACGCCGCGUGCAGGAAGAAGGUCUUCGGAUUGUAAACUGUUGUCGCAAGGGAAGAAGACAGUGACGGUACCUUGUGAGAAAGUCACGGCUAACUACGUGCCAGCAGCCGCGGUAAUACGUAGGUGACAAGCGUUGUCCGGAUUUACUGGGUGUAAAGGGCGCGUAGGCGGACUGUCAAGUCAGUCGUGA